This 484-nucleotide ribosomal RNA is filed under the name uncultured bacterium. Its description in RNAcentral is "partial 16S ribosomal RNA". It matches the Rfam family "Bacterial small subunit ribosomal RNA", at positions 30 to 507 of the family's 1533-position model. The record is from RNAcentral.
AUUGAACGCUGGCGGCAGGCCUAACACAUGCAAGUCGAGCGGAUGAAGGGAGCUUGCUCCUGGAUUCAGCGGCGGACGGGUGAGUAAUGCCUAGGAAUCUGCCUGGUAGUGGGGGAUAACGUCCGGAAACGGGCGCUAAUACCGCAUACGUCCUGAGGGAGAAAGUGGGGGAUCUUCGGACCUCACGCUAUCAGAUGAGCCUAGGUCGGAUUAGCUAGUUGGUGGGGUAAAGGCCUACCAAGGCGACGAUCCGUAACUGGUCUGAGAGGAGGAUCAGUCACACUGGAACUGAGACACGGUCCAGACUCCUACGGGAGGCAGCAGUGGGGAAUAUUGGACAAUGGGCGAAAGCCUGAUCCAGCCAUGCCGCGUGUGUGAAGAAGGUCUUCGGAUUGUAAAGCACGUUAAGUUGGGAGGAAGGGCAGUAAGUUAAUACCUUGCUGUUUUGACGUUACCAACAGAAUAAGCACCGGCUAACUUCGUG